UGGGGAAUAUUGGACAAUGGGCGCAAGCCUGAUCCAGCCAUGCCGCGUGAGUGAUGAAGGCCCUAGGGUUGUAAAGCUCUUUCACCGGUGAAGAUAAUGACGGUAACCGGAGAAGAAGCCCCGGCUAACUUCGUGCCAGCAGCCGCGGUAAUACGAAGGGGGCUAGCGUUGUUCGGAUUUACUGGGCGUAAAGCGCACGUAGGCGGACUUUUAAGUCAGGGGUGAAAUCCCGGGGCUCAACCCCGGAACUGCCUUUGAUACUGGAAGUCUUGAGUAUGGUAGAGGUGAGUGGAAUUCCGAGUNUAGAGGUGAAAUUCGUAGAUAUUCGGAGGAACACCAGUGGCGAAGGCGGCUCACUGGACCAUUACUGACGCUGAGGUGCGAAAAGCGUGGGGAGCAAACAGGAUUAGAUACCCUGGUAGUCCACGCCGUAAAACGAUGAAUGUUAGCCGUUGGGGAGUUUACUCUUCGGUGGCGCAGCUAACGCAUUAAAACAUUCCGCCUGGGGAGUACGUCGCAAGNUUAAAACUCAAAGGAAUUGAACGGGGUCAUAGCUGUUUCCU
Molecule: ribosomal RNA, 563 nt
Filed under: uncultured bacterium
Lineage: Bacteria
Description: partial 16S ribosomal RNA
Rfam family: Bacterial small subunit ribosomal RNA
Source: RNAcentral